AUGGGAAAAAAUUACAAAAAGAAAAAUAUUUUAUGGGCAAGCACAGAAAGCAAAAAACCCCAUUUCAUUCAUGCACAAUUUUAAUUCAGUUGGACUCCAAUUCAAUGAAAUUCACUUUAUUCAUUUCAAUUUUUUUAUAUUACAGCGUCAUUUGAACCGAGCCUAAUCUGAGUUUAAGACACACUCCUCACUUCCAGCAAGACCCCAGCAGCACAGGGGAGAAAGCACCUUGCUCUACAUCAUCACCUGAAAUGGAACUUGGGUGUCAAUGCCAAACUUGAAUCAAUAAAGAGCUGAACUACCUGUAGUGGUGCCAGAGAAUGCAAGAGUUUGGUAGCAAACAAAAGAUUUUGUACACAUUUUCCUCAAGUUCACAGGGAGGCAAUGUAAUAACUGAUUCAGAGCUUGAACUGGCACUACAAAUUCUCUACUUCAAAUCUAGUGUGUAAGCUGGAAUUGGUUUCCAACACAUCUGGGAAAUGAUGAAAAUGAUGAUGAUGAUGAUGAUGAUGAUGAUGAUGAUGAUUAUGAUGAUGAUCUUCACAAUGACAAAACUACACAGAUUGGCUCCCUUUAGACCAGUGCAAUAUAAAAGGAAAUGACAGAUGCUUGUCUGGUUGAGUCCCAAGCUUCCAUUAUUUGAGUAAUA
Long non-coding RNA from Catharus ustulatus (Swainson's thrush), 649 nucleotides. RefSeq lists it as uncharacterized. Lineage: Eukaryota; Metazoa; Chordata; Aves; Passeriformes; Turdidae. The record is from RefSeq and is a predicted model, not a curated record. The transcript is spliced from 3 exons.